Molecule: non-coding RNA, 91 nt
Filed under: human gut metagenome
Description: THF riboswitch
Rfam family: THF (Tetrahydrofolate) riboswitch aptamer
About the family: THF riboswitch presents a pseudoknot that joins P1-P2 and the loop of P3 and two THF binding.
Source: RNAcentral
GGAGUAGAAAACAGCGCGUCAAGUACCGGCUGGAUGGGAGGUUGCCACCGGGCGAAGGGAUUUUCCCGCGAUGCUGAUUUCGCAACCGCCU